UGGGGAAUAUUGGACAAUGGGCGCAAGCCUGAUCCAGCCAUGCCGCGUGAGUGACGAAGGCCUUAGGGUUGUAAAGCUCUUUCAGACGGAAAGAAACGGUCGCGGCCAAUACCCGCGACUAAUGACGGUACCGUAAGAAGAAGCACCGGCUAACUACGUGCCAGCAGCAGCGGUAAUACGAGUGCCCCGAGCGUUAUCCGGAAUCAUUGGGCGUAAAGGGUGUGUAGGUGGUCAUGUUAGUCAGUUGUUAAAACCCGGGGCUUAACCCCGGAAGUGCGACUGAAACGGCAUAACUAGAGGAUGGCAGGGAUGUAUGGAACUCAUGGAGUAGGGGUGAAAUCCGUUGAUAUCAUGGGGAACACCAAAAGCGAAGGCAGUACAUUGGGCCACUCCUGACACUGAAACACGAAAGCGUGGGUAGCGAAUGGGAUUAGAUACCCCCGUAGUCCCUGAGCGGGCUGGCAAGGCGCAU
RNAcentral lists this ribosomal RNA (472 nucleotides) under uncultured bacterium. RNAcentral describes it as "bacterial SSU rRNA". It matches the Rfam family "Bacterial small subunit ribosomal RNA", at positions 355 to 825 of the family's 1533-position model. The record is from RNAcentral.